CUACGGGGGGCUCCAGUGGGGAAUAUUGCACAAUGGAGGGAACUCUGAUGCAGCAACGCCGCGUGGAGGAUGACACUUUUCGGAGCGUAAACUCCUUUUAUAUAGGAAGAAGAUGACGGUACUAUAUGAAUAAGCGCCGGCUAACUCCGUGCCAGCAGCCGCGGUAAUACGGAGGGCGCAAGCGUUACUCGGAAUCACUGGGCGUAAAGAGCGUGUAGGCGGAUUAAAAAGUCAGAAGUGAAAUCCUAUAGCUUAACUAUAGAACUGCUUCUGAAACUCUUAAUCUAGAAUAUGGGAGAGGUAGAUGGAAUUUCUGGUGUAGGGGUAAAAUCCGUAGAGAUCAGAAGGAAUACCGAUUGCGAAGGCGAUCUACUAGAACAUUAUUGACGCUGAGACGCGAAAGCGUGGGGAGCAAGCAGGAUUAGAUACCCCCGUAGUC
Molecule: ribosomal RNA, 439 nt
Filed under: uncultured bacterium
Lineage: Bacteria
Description: partial 16S ribosomal RNA
Rfam family: Bacterial small subunit ribosomal RNA
Source: RNAcentral